Oncorhynchus tshawytscha (Chinook salmon) is the source of this 2937-nucleotide long non-coding RNA. The record is from Ensembl. NCBI's taxonomy places the organism in Eukaryota, Metazoa, Chordata, Actinopteri, Salmoniformes, Salmonidae.
GAGAGAGGGAGAAAGAGAGAUAUCAUAGAUGCCUUGGAGAGAAUAAGAUGAAAGAAGGAGGGAAAGAGAGGGAGGGAGGGAGAGAGAUGCUGGAGGGAGGGAGAGAGAUGCUGGAGGGAGGGAUUGUAGAUGCAUUUGAGUGGGGGAGAGAAUGAGGUGAGAGAAGUAGAGAGAGAGAGAGAGAGAGAGGGAUGGAGACGAGACAGACCAAUGUGUGUGGCAGCUAUGGGCUUGUUGCAUGACCACACCUAAAGACACAGUGAGAGGAGGCAGAGGGAGGGAACAAAGGAGGGAGAGAGAGAAAGGGAGGAAUGAAUCAAAUAACAGAGAGAGAGAGAUCUCAAGUCCUGCACCCAAGUGAUGUCUAACCGUGUGGAAGCUUUGUGGUUGCAAGUGUCAACAUGGUUUCUACGUUUUACAUGGCCUGCGCUGCAUGUGGAGGUGUUUCUGGUUUUGAAAACUAGCCGACUAGCUUCUCUACUACUGGGUUGGACUUUUCUCUCUCUGCAUUAACAACGGGCGAGGACAUGUUUGACAACUAACGGUGCUUCAAGACUUUGACCAAAAACAAAGCCCAUUACCAUUUCACUACUGACAACGCCUCAAGAGAAGGAUCACAAUAUGACAUUUUCCCCAUGAAUCUUUAGGUGGAGAAUAGAGAAAUCUCUGGGAUAGGAUGACACCAUCUCCAUGUUGUGUGGUUGGUUGGUCCUGAAGAAGGAAGGGAUACGCCACUGGAACCUUGGAACCACCAUGACUUCUAGAACUGUUCAUAUUGGAACCACCAGGACUUCUAGAACUUUUCAUAUUGGAACCACCAGGACUUCUAGAACUGUUCAUAUUGGAACCACCAGGACUUCUAGAACUUUUUAUAUUGGAACCACCAGGACUUCUCGAACUGUUCAUAUUGGAACCACCAGGACUUCUAGAACUUUUCAUAUUGGAACCACCAGGACUUCUAGAACUUUUCAUAUUGGAACCAGGGUGACUUGAGAACUUUUCACAAUGAAAGGACCAGUAGCAAUCUACCUGCCAUGACUCAUCAUAGGUGGAAGAAGAGGAUGAGGAAGAGGAGAAGAUGAGGUGUUGAAGUCUUUCUUUCGAUGAUCUGAAAAGAUUGGGAUGUGCUUGUGGACACAGGAUUUAAAUAAACCUCUACCUACGAGAGAAUUUUAAAUUAUAAUGCUGUGAGGACAUUUUAGACAGCCGGAUGAGAAACAAGCACAUUAAACCUUGUACUGUAUUUAGGGUUGCAAAAUUUCAGGAACUUUCCCCAAAUUCCCUGAUUUUCCAGAAAUCCAGGUUGGAAUUUUUCUUGAAUCAGACAGAAAUAAGCACAAAAUCCAUAAUCCUCCAACCUGGGAAUUUGGGGGAAAAUGACUGGAUUUUGCAACCCGAUAUUGAAACUUGAGUUUUUUCUGAAUCCCAGUUACUGUGGUACGUUUCAACAAAGAGUUUUAUCAAGAGUUUUAUCAAAGUGCGUAAAUAGUUAGAGAUGCAUGGUUUAAUCAAGUACUAAAGCCAAUAGAACACAGACACGCGCUGAUGUCAUCACGAUGAUGAUACGACUCAGAGGUGGUCCCCCUUUUACGUGUGUGUGUGUGUGUGUGUGUGUGUGUGUGUGUGUGUGUGUGUGUGUGUGUCAGUGUGUGUGUGUGUGUGUGUGUGUGUUUGUGUGUGUGUGUGUGUACAGCGAGUAGGUGUGAUUUUUGUCUCACAAAAAAUAUGAUAAAACUCCAGAAUGCCAAAUCAACCAAACUGCCAAGACUGUGUUAUUCUUCCCUCUUCUGAAUAACUUCCAUAUUACCAUCGUGUAUUUAUUUAGUUGGUUUAUGUGUAUGAGGUUAUAUCAUAACAAGGACGUCACUAUGAGUCCAAUGACUUCAAUAUGAGUCCAAUGACUUCAAUAUGAGUCCAAUGACUUCACUAUGAGUCCAAUAACUUCAAUAUGAGUCCAAUGACUUCACUAUGAUGACUUCAAUAUGAGUCCAAUGACUUCACUAUGAGUCCAAUAACUUCAAUAUGAGUCCAAUGACUUCACUAUGAUGACUUCAAUAUGAGUCCAAUGACUUCACUAUGAGUCCAAUGACUUGGACAUGUUGAUGAUUAUUACUUGUGAGGUGAUUUAUGAGUUGAAGCCUGUGCAUGCGGCCCAAAUAGCACCCUAUUCGGUGCACUAAAAAGUAGUGCACUAUUUGUAUUACCUUUAUUUAACUAGGCAAGUCAGUUAAUUAAGAACAAAUUCUUAUUUUCAAUGAUGGCCUAGGAGCAGUGGGUUAACUGCCUUGUUCAGGGGCAGAACAACAGAUACACACACCAUCAGCUCAGGGAUUCAAACUUGCAACCUUUAAGUCACUAGUCCAACGCUCUAACCACUAGGCUACCCUGCCGUCUUAUAUGGGGAAUAGGGUGCCAUUUGUGCAGCCUACUAGUUGGGGGGUUCUGUUCUGAGUAUUGUGAAUGGGGGGGGUCUGUUCUGAGUAUUGUGAAUGGGGGUUCUGUUCUGAGUAUUGUGAAUGGGGGUUCUGUUCUGAGUAUUGUAAAUGGUGGGGUUCUGUUCUGAGUAUUGUGAAUGGUGGGGUUCUGUUCUGAGUAUUGUGAAUGGGGGUUCUGUUCUGAGUAUUGUGAAUGGGGGUUAUGUUCUGAGUAUUGUGAAUGGGGGUUCUGUUCUGAGUAUUGUGAAUGGGGGUUCUGUUCUGAGUAUUGUGAAUGGGGGUUCUGUUCUGAGUAUUGUGAAUGGUGGGGUUCUGUUCUGAGUAUUGUGAAUGGGGGUUCUGUUCUGAGUAUUGUGAAUGGUGGGGUUCUGUUCUGAGUAUUGUGAAUGGGGGUUCUGUUCUGAGUAUUGUGAAUGGUGGGGUUCUGUUCUGAGUAUUGUGAAUGGUGGGGUUCUGUUCUGAGUGUUGUGAAUGGGGGUUCUGUUCUGAGUAUUGUGAAUGG